Long non-coding RNA from Hibiscus syriacus, 169 nucleotides. RefSeq lists it as uncharacterized. The record is from RefSeq and is a predicted model, not a curated record. NCBI's taxonomy places the organism in Eukaryota, Viridiplantae, Streptophyta, Magnoliopsida, Malvales, Malvaceae. The transcript has 3 exons.
AUUUACGAUGGGGUAAAAGGUCUGGAAAAAUUAAGGGGAAGAAAAUUGAUUUUAUCAAUGCUGGUGGCAGGACAUCAGCGUAUGUACCGGAGUUGCAGAAGUUGAGUGGAACAUCAGCUUCAAAAGCAGCAGGUAAGCUUAGAAAGCAGGCUUCAAAGAGAGGUAAGGC